CGACGCCCCGCAGGGGAGUGGCAGACGGGUGAGUAACGCGUGGGAAUCUACCCAAUUCUACGGAACAACUCCGGGAAACUGGAGCUAAUACCGUAUACGUCCUUCGGGAGAAAGAUUUAUCGGAGUUGGAUGAGCCCGCGUUGGAUUAGCUAGUUGGUGGGGUAACGGCCUACCAAGGCUACGAUCCAUAGCUGGUCUGAGAGGAUGAUCAGCCACACUGGGACUGAGACACGGCCCAGACUCCUACGGGAGGCAGCAGUGGGGAAUAUUGGGCAAUGGGCGAAAGCCUGAUCCAGCCAUGCCGUGUGAGUGAUGAAGGCCUUAGGGUUGUAAAGCUCUUUCAGUGGGGAAGAUAAUGACGGUACCCACAGAAGAAGCCCCGGCUAACUUCGUGCCAGCAGCCGCGGUAAUACGAAGGGGGCUAGCGUUGUUCGGAUUUACUGGGCGUAAAGCGCACGUAGGCGGAUCGUUAAGUCGAGGGUGAAAUCCUGGAGCUCAACUCCAGAACUGCCUUCGAUACUGGCG
Molecule: ribosomal RNA, 525 nt
Filed under: uncultured bacterium
Lineage: Bacteria
Description: bacterial SSU rRNA
Rfam family: Bacterial small subunit ribosomal RNA
Source: RNAcentral